Molecule: ribosomal RNA, 432 nt
Filed under: uncultured archaeon
Lineage: Archaea
Description: bacterial SSU rRNA
Rfam family: Archaeal small subunit ribosomal RNA
Source: RNAcentral
UACCAGCUCUCCGAGUGGUAGGGAUGAUUAUUGGGCUUAAAGCGUCCGUAGCCGGCUUAGCAAGUCUCCUGUUAAACUCAGCGACCUAAUCGUUGAAUCGCGGGAGAUACUACUAGGCUAGGAGGCGGGAGAGGUCGACGGUACUUCUGGGGGUAGGGGUGAAAUCCUAUAAUCCCGGGAGGACCACCAGUGGCGAAGGCUGUCGACUAGAACGCGCUCGACGGUGGGGGACGAAAGCUGGGGUAGCGAACCGGAUUAGAUACCCGGGUAGUCCCAGCUGUAAACGAUGCGGGCUAGGUGUUGGGAUGGCUACGGGCCAUUUCAGUGCCGCAGGGAAGCCAUUAAGCCCGCCGCCGUGGGGAGUACGGCCGCAAGGCUAGAAACUUAAAGGAAUUGGCGGGGGAGCACCACAAGGCGUGAAGCUUGCGGUUC